This 237-nucleotide long non-coding RNA is filed under the name Elaeis guineensis (African oil palm). RNAcentral describes it as "long non-coding RNA (EGUI_LNC022139)". Lineage: Eukaryota; Viridiplantae; Streptophyta; Magnoliopsida; Arecales; Arecaceae. The record is from RNAcentral.
UGAUCUGCGCCAAUGGUUCGGCCUCCACCCACUUGGUGAAGUAGUUGAUGGCGACAACGAUGAACUUCCUCUGGCCUGACGCUGGUGGAAAAGGACCGAGAAUGUCGACCCCCCACUGGGCGAAGGGCCACGGAGCGACAAUAGGGGCAAUUUGGCUGGCCGGUUGGUGUUGAAUAUUGGCAUACUUUUGACAUGGCUCGCACCUCCGGACCAACUCGGCUGCAUCCCUCUUCAUGG